UUUCCGUAGGUGAACCUGCGGAAGGAUCAUUAAUGAGUUGUCAUGGGGUUCGAUGCUGGCAGCCAAUUUUUGGAUGCAUGUGCUUGCCCUAACAAUCAUCUUCCAACACCUGUGCACAUUUUUGAGGGAGUCUUGAGUUGGUUGCCGCUCUUGGGUGAUUUUCUCACAUUCCCUUAAAUCAUUAUACGCUAUUAACAAUGUUGAACGUGCUCUGUGCCGCAAGGCUAUUAAUAUAAUACAACUUUUAACAACGGAUCUCUUGGCUCUC
RNAcentral lists this unclassified non-coding RNA (268 nucleotides) under plant metagenome. Its description in RNAcentral is "partial contains small subunit ribosomal RNA, internal transcribed spacer 1, and 5.8S ribosomal RNA". The record is from RNAcentral.